UGGUAAGUGAUAAAUUUCCCCCUAAUACCCUCCGAAACUCGAUGUAAACAACUGCUAACAACCCUUCUAGGUGGAGUGAUUUGUCAGCUUAAUUGCGAUAACGAACGAGACCUUGACCUGCUAAAUAGCCCGAUCUGCUUUGGCAGUUCGCUGGCUUCUUAGAGGGACUAUCGGCUCAAGCCGAUGGAAGUUCGAGGCAAUAACA
RNAcentral lists this ribosomal RNA (205 nucleotides) under uncultured eukaryote. Its description in RNAcentral is "partial 18S ribosomal RNA". The stretch from base 63 to 201 matches the Rfam family "Eukaryotic small subunit ribosomal RNA", at positions 1293 to 1454 of the family's 1831-position model. The record is from RNAcentral.